CAGUCGUACCUUCGGGUAAUCAGCCUUUCGGGUGCGAUUCUGUGGAGUGUGAGGAGCUUAACACCUUCAUGCUUUGCAUAUUUGUGCUCUUGGGUGUACUUGCUCGUGUGGUUGGUUAACAUCAAUUUUGAUUAUCAUAAAAUGAUUGGAGGAAUGUAGCUUCGAUCUCGUAUCGAAGUGUUAUAGCCUUCGGUAGAUGUGAUGAUCGAGAUUGAGGAUUGCAACGGAUACCCUUCGGGGCUACCUGUCUGGUCUCUGAUCGUUGCUCUGGUGCCGAAAGCGUGCUUACGGUUAUCAAAGUCGAUGGUCAAUAGGUUAGAACGGGUUAAA
RNAcentral lists this ribosomal RNA (330 nucleotides) under uncultured Glomeromycotina. RNAcentral describes it as "LSU rRNA". The record is from RNAcentral. Lineage: Eukaryota; Fungi; Glomeromycota.